AUGGACAACAAGAGAGCAUCUCCUGCCACCUUCCUCGAUUGCAUCCCAUCAUUCCCAGCAUCCCCCCGCUGCCUCGACAUGUCCGCCGCCGUCGGCUCGCCGUACCGGGCCGCCCCCGCCGCGCAGCACCGCCGGAGGGGGCGCCCCGGCGCCGUCACGCUCCGGUGCUCCAAGGUGGCUGCGGCCGCGGCCGCGCCCAUCCUGGACGACCUGAGGCUGCAGUGCGCGACGCCGCUCCCCCUGCUGCGGCACGUGGCGGGCGCCAUGGCCGCCGGCAUGCGCACCGGGCUCGCGGCCGACGGCGCCGGCGAGCUCAAGAUGAUCCCCAGCUACGUCUACUCGCUCCCCACUGGGAGUGAAACAGGGCUGUUCUAUGCUCUGGAUCUGGGAGGAACCAACUUCAGAGUGCUGAGGGUGCAGCUGGGUGGAAAAGACAGGCGCGUCGUCGACACCGAGUCCGAGCAAGUGUCGAUCCCAAAAGAAAUCAUGCAUGGUACAACUGAGGAGCUGUUCGAUUUUAUCGCGGCGCGCCUAUCGAAUUUUGUAGCGAAGGAGGGUGGUAAUUUUCAUCUUCAGAAAGGUCGAAAAAGGGAGAUAGGCUUUACAUUCUCCUUCCCGGUGAAGCAGACUUCUAUUGACUCGGGUAUUCUGAUCAAGUGGACCAAGGGUUUCGCUGUAUCUGGGACUGCCGGGAAGGAUGUGGUUGCCUGUCUGAAUGCCGCCAUGGAGAGGCAGGGGCUUGACAUGAGUGUGUCUGCUCUGGUAAAUGAUACCGUUGGAGCCUUAGCUGGAGCGCACUAUUGGGACGAGGAUGUGAUGGUUGCGGUGAUUUUGGGCACCGGCACAAAUGCUUGCUACAUUGAGCGAACUAAGUCCAUCCCAAAGCUCCAACACCUCGGGCUUGGAACAGGAAACACGAUUAUCAACACCGAGUGGGGAGCUUUUUCAGAUGGUCUUCCACUAACUGAAUUUGACAGGGACAUGGAUGCCGAGAGCAUAAAUCCAGGUGAACAGAUAUUCGAGAAGACGAUUUCCGGGAUGUACCUUGGAGAAAUUGUUCGGAGGGUGGUGGCCAAGAUGGCUCAAGAGUCUGAUCUGUUCGGUCACUCAUUGGCUGAUAAACUAGCUGAGCCAUUUGUUCUAAGAACUCCACAUUUGUGUGCUAUGCAACAAGAUAACUCCGACAAUCUUGGACAAGUUGAAUCAAUUUUGCGCGACACCAUCGGUGUCAGCCAAUCUUCUGUAGCAGCACGAAGGUUCAUCGUAGAAGUUUCCGAUUGUGUCGUCAAGAGAGGCGGGAGAUUGGCGGGCGCUGGCAUUGCUGGCAUUCUUCAGAAGAUGGAGAAUGAUUCCAAGGGACUGAUCUUAGGGAGAAGGACAGUGGUAGCGAUGGACGGCGGACUUUACGAGAAUUACCCUCAGUACAGGUCAUAUAUGGUUGAGGCUAUGGCGGAGCUGCUCGGUCCACGGGACAUGGAGCACAUCAUCGUCGAGCACACCAAAGACGGCUCGGGCAUCGGUGCGGCACUUUUGGCAGCCGCAAACUCAAAAUAUGCAGCAGCUCAGCUCUCGGCGUGA
RNAcentral lists this ribosomal RNA (1578 nucleotides) under Triticum aestivum (bread wheat). RNAcentral's name for it is "partial small subunit ribosomal RNA". Lineage: Eukaryota; Viridiplantae; Streptophyta; Magnoliopsida; Poales; Poaceae. The record is from RNAcentral.